This 415-nucleotide ribosomal RNA is filed under the name uncultured bacterium. RNAcentral describes it as "bacterial SSU rRNA". It matches the Rfam family "Bacterial small subunit ribosomal RNA", at positions 30 to 447 of the family's 1533-position model. The record is from RNAcentral.
AUUGAACGCUGGCGGCAUGCCUUACACAUGCAAGUCGAACGGCAGCGGACCUUCGGGUGCCGGCGAGUGGCGAACGGGUGAGUAAUAUAUCGGAACGUACCUUUCAGUGGGGGAUAACGUAGCGAAAGUUACGCUAAUACCGCAUAUUCUGUGAGCAGGAAAGCAGGGGAUCGCAAGACCUUGCGCUGAUUGAGCGGCCGAUAUCAGAUUAGCUAGUUGGUGAGGUAAAGGCUCACCAAGGCGACGAUCUGUAGCGGGUCUGAGAGGAUGAUCCGCCACACUGGAACUGAGACACGGUCCAGACUCCUACGGGAGGCAGCAGUGGGGAAUUUUGGACAAUGGGCGCAAGCCUGAUCCAGCCAUGCCGCGUGAGUGAAGAAGGCCUUCGAGUUGUAAGACUCUUUCGGUCCGGGAA